This 1358-nucleotide ribosomal RNA is filed under the name Cupolaconcha meroclista. RNAcentral's name for it is "partial 16S ribosomal RNA". It matches the Rfam family "Bacterial large subunit ribosomal RNA", at positions 216 to 2597 of the family's 2925-position model. Lineage: Eukaryota; Metazoa; Mollusca; Gastropoda; Littorinimorpha; Vermetidae. The record is from RNAcentral.
AAAAGUUAUAUGAAAGGUGAGAAGAUAUAACCAUCCUAUAUUAAUGGGGAGUAUUAAAUCAUAGCUAUAAUAUGGGGGUGCAUAUUAAGUGAUAUAUAUAUCUAAAGAAAAGCAAAAGGAACGUAUAUAUUAGUUUUUCGUCGAACUAAAGUAAUAAAAAAAAGAUAUCUGUAAAUAAGUAUAGAAAAUAGAACAUUUAGUAAAAUAUAAAUAGAGUAAAAGAAGUACCGCAAGGGAAAGAUACAAGAAAACGUAAAAGCAGCGGUUUUCUCGCGUACCUUUUGUAUCAUGGCUUAGCAAGAGAUUAUAAUAUAUUUUAUCUCUCGAGACCCGCGGAGCUACCUAAGUCCCUAUAUAAAGAUAGUAGUAUCACACUGAAGAUGUAGCAUAAUCUUGGGAAGAGAGUUAGGUAGAAUGUUAAAUGCUUUCCGACACGGGCGAUAGCUAGUUUCUUCAAAAAUGUAUGUUAAUACAGGGGUGCUUUUAGAUGGGGGUAAAUAUAUAUACUACCAACCAUGGAAAGAGCACUACUUGUGUGCUUGAGGAUCAGCUCGGGCAUAGAGUAUAAUAAAAUAUAAUUAUAUGUUUUAGGUGUAGGUUUGGAAGUGGCCACCACUUAUGCUGUUUGUUAUAAAUGAUAAUAUACAGAUUAGGUGAUAUAAUUAGUAAUUUUAGUUAAUAAUGGAGAUAUAGGCUUAAAACAUGAGUGCCUAAAUAUACUGCUAAGAUGAGUAUUUUUUAAAAUAUAAAAGUAGUUAUCUAAAUAUAAAAUAAAAGACUACGUUAAUAUAAAGUAUAUAUCAUUUAAAAUAUAAAAAGGAACUCGGCAAAAUGUAAUUUCCGCCUGUUUAUCAAAAACAUGGCUUCUUGUUUUUAUUAAUAUAAGAAGUCGUACCUGCCCGGUGUAUCUAAUUAUAAACGGCCGCGGUACUUUGACCGUGCGAAGGUAGCAUAAUCAUUUGUUCAUUAAUUGUGGACUUGUAUGAAUGGUUUGACGGGAAAUUAACUGUCUCCUUAUAUUUUUAUAAAAAUUGACUUCUAGGUAAAAAGGCCUAACUGUUACACAAAGACGAGAAGACCCUGUGAGCUUUACCUUGUAAGGAGAAUUGCUAUAACUUCUUCUCGACAGGGAUUGGUUGGGGCGACAGAAGAACAAAGAAAGCUUCUUCUCAAUGUAGUUAAUUGCUUACGUAGAUCCGGUAUAUGUCGAUCGAAGGAACGAGUUACCACAGGGAUAACAGCAUUAUCUUCUCUGUGAGUUCUUAUCUAAGAGAGGGUUUGUGACCUCGAUGUUGGACUAGGGUAUCCUGAAGGUGCAGAAGCUUUCUAAGGUUGGUCUGUUCGACCAUUAAAACCCU